UCAUUUAGAGGAAGUAAAAGUCGUAACAAGGUCUCCGUUGGUGAACCAGCGGAGGGAUCAUUAC
Molecule: ribosomal RNA, 64 nt
Filed under: Sepedonium chalcipori
Lineage: Eukaryota; Fungi; Ascomycota; Sordariomycetes; Hypocreales; Hypocreaceae
Description: partial 18S ribosomal RNA
Rfam family: Eukaryotic small subunit ribosomal RNA
Source: RNAcentral